AAAGUCGUAACAAGGUCUCCGUUGGUGAACCAGCGGAGGGAUCAUUACAGAGUUACCAAGCUCACCAAAACCAUCGCGAACGUUACCCGUACCGUUGCCUCGGCGGGCGGCUCCAUCCCGGAGCCGCAGCCCCCUCACGGGGGCGGCCCGCCGGAGGUCAGCCGGAGAAAAACUCUUUGUCCUCUAGGGCCUCUCUGAGUAUUUUUGUACUAAACAAGUCAAAACUUUCAACAACGGAUCUCUUGGUUCUG
RNAcentral lists this unclassified non-coding RNA (251 nucleotides) under Ascomycota sp. RNAcentral's name for it is "partial contains small subunit ribosomal RNA, internal transcribed spacer 1, and 5.8S ribosomal RNA". The stretch from base 1 to 47 matches the Rfam family "Eukaryotic small subunit ribosomal RNA", at positions 1785 to 1831 of the family's 1831-position model. The record is from RNAcentral. Lineage: Eukaryota; Fungi; Ascomycota.